AUGACAACACAGUAUCCACCCUUCCAUGUUUGCUAAGCAAAUACGAAGUUCACAUGGUGGUGCGAGCCCAGAUUUCAGGGUGAGAACUCUUAAGUUCCAGUUUUCGGAGAUGGAGAUGAGAGUAAGAGAUAGGCAGAUGUGAUAAGAAAGGGAUAUAUCAGACAUCUGCAAAACAAACUGCUUUUUCAUUGCAUUGAAAAUUUUUUUGCACUAAUGUGUUUUAAAGCCUUUCAUUGCAUUUGUAAAAGGAUAUAAACACAGCCCCAAUGAUGCGACAAUCUUUAAGAAAAGGUGUCUAUUCUUGGUUUGAAGGACUUCAGAAGUGUGCUUCUUAACUUUAUUAAAGCAAGAUUUUGCACAUUUAUGCUUUGAAGAAAACGACUAGAUUAUGGAGCUCAUGAAGAUCAGAAGUCCGGCGUUUGCAGAGUUCAGACCGAUUGGGAGGAUACGCAUUCCAAGAAAUUACCUUAAGAUUUGUUUCACCAUUAAAGUGACAUUCUCAGCUGUGCUCCAAUCAACUGGAUAAAAGCGGAAAACCCAUCAGAAGUUGUUCCUGUUGACUAUCACCUUUCAAAUGCCAGCAACUUGCCUUUCCAGAUGCACGGUGGUGCUGCUUCCAGAAGGGCUCCCCACUGCCCACAGAAUUGAUGCCAGAGGCCAGCGUCUGCCAUUUGAGAAGCAUUUAAUCUGGGAGGACCAACCUUUCUAGACCCCAAUCCUGUAUCCCCAAGCCCCUCCCCAACACCAUAUGCUCAAGCCAUGCCGGACUUGUAGUUUCCUGAUUUUGUAGCCUUUCCCGUCCAUACCUCCAGCCUUCACGUGACCACAGCCCUAACUGACGUCUUGACUGCAACUUCAUGAGGGGCCGUGGGCCAGAAUCACCCAGCUAAGGCGCUCCUGGAUUCCCGACCCACAGCGCUGUGAUAAAUAAAUAGCUGUUGUUUUAA
Molecule: long non-coding RNA, 947 nt
Organism: Equus caballus (horse)
Lineage: Eukaryota; Metazoa; Chordata; Mammalia; Perissodactyla; Equidae
Source: RefSeq, a predicted model, not a curated record